UACGGAGGGUGCAAGCGUUGUUCGGAAUUAUUGGGCGUAAAGGGCAGGUAGGUGGUCUUGAAAGUCUGCUGUGAAAUCCCCGAGCUUAACUUGGGAAGUGCGGCAGAUACUCCAAGACUAGAGUACUGUAGGGGCAGGCGGAAUUCCGGGUGUAGCGGUGGAAUGCGUAGAGAUCCGGAGGAAGACCGGUGGCGAAGGCGGCCUGCUGGGCAGUUACUGACACUGAGGCGCGACAGCGUGGGGAGCAAACAGGG
This 254-nucleotide ribosomal RNA is filed under the name uncultured bacterium. RNAcentral's name for it is "partial 16S ribosomal RNA". It matches the Rfam family "Bacterial small subunit ribosomal RNA", at positions 524 to 777 of the family's 1533-position model. The record is from RNAcentral.